This is a long non-coding RNA of Sapajus apella (tufted capuchin), 214 nucleotides long. RefSeq lists it as uncharacterized. The transcript is spliced from 2 exons. Lineage: Eukaryota; Metazoa; Chordata; Mammalia; Primates; Cebidae. The record is from RefSeq and is a predicted model, not a curated record.
UUCACAUACUAAAAUGUUGGUAAGGAUGUGAGAAUUAUAUGUCAACUUUAUAUAGGGGGAAAUCAUACAGCAGUCACAUUUCCUCCUACUUUUUGCCGUACAGAGGAUAUAAAGAAUUCUGAAAUGCUGGGGAAUCUUUAACGCUUUAUGAUUUUGAUCAUAAACUUGGUUACAUAAAAAGGUAGAUGGGAAAGACAUACUGGUGCCCUGAAUG